RNAcentral lists this ribosomal RNA (314 nucleotides) under uncultured bacterium. Its description in RNAcentral is "bacterial SSU rRNA". It matches the Rfam family "Bacterial small subunit ribosomal RNA", at positions 29 to 353 of the family's 1533-position model. The record is from RNAcentral.
AACGAACGCUGGCGGUAUGCUUAACACAUGCAAGUCGAACGAACAAAUUAGAGCUUGCUCUAAUUUUAGUGAGUGGCAAACGGGUAGAGUAACACGUGGGAAUCUACCCAUCAGUACGGAAUAACAUUUGGAAACAAAUGCUAAUACCGUAUAUUCUCUAAGGAGGAAAGAUUUAUCGCUGAUGGAUGAGCCCGCGUAAGAUUAGGUAGUUGGUAGGGUAAGAGCCUACCAAGCCUACGAUCUUUAGCUGGUCUGAGAGGAUGAUCAGCCACACUGGGACUGAGACACGGCCCAGACUCCUACGGGAGGCAGCA